GGAGACGUGGCUGAGUGGUCGAAAGCGCUCCCCUGCUAAGGGAACGCCUGGAGUAAUCUGGGUCGAGGGUUCGAAUCCCUCCGUCUCCG
The sequence is a transfer RNA, 89 nucleotides long. It matches the Rfam family "tRNA". Rfam says of the family: Transfer RNA (tRNA) molecules are approximately 80 nucleotides in length. Their secondary structure includes four short double-helical elements and three loops (D, anti-codon, and T loops).